CGAGCGCGCUGGACGGCCGCGGGUCCGAGGAAUCGGACCUGAGGAAAGUCCGGGCUCCAUCGGGCAAGGGUGCCAGCUAACGGCUGGUCGGGGAAACUCGAAGGAAAGUGCCACAGAAACAAACCGCCGCGCCGUCGGGUGCGGUAAGGGUGAAAUGGUGCGGUAAGAGCGCACCGGCGGACGUCGAAAGACGCCGGCCGGGUAAACCCCACCCGGAGCAAGACAGUUGAGAUCGCCGCGCGCUGCGCGGUGCAGGCGGCCCGCCUGAUCUCACAGCACGUCGCACGAGGCGUCUGGUGACAGACGCCCAUAGAGAGAUGGUCGUCGCCGCCACGGGCGGUACAGAACCCGGCUUACAGGCGCGCCUCGGCAC
Molecule: RNase P RNA, 373 nt
Rfam family: Bacterial RNase P class A
About the family: Ribonuclease P (RNase P) is a ubiquitous endoribonuclease, found in archaea, bacteria and eukarya as well as chloroplasts and mitochondria. Its best characterised activity is the generation of mature 5'-ends of tRNAs by cleaving the 5'-leader elements of precursor-tRNAs. Cellular RNase Ps are ribonucleoproteins.